AGCAGCCGCGGUAAUUCCAGCUCCAAUAGCGUAUAUUAAAGUUGUUGCAGUUAAAAAGCUCGUAGUUGAAUUUCGGGAUCAAUAUUUCGGUCAUGCCGUUGGUAUGCACUGUUAUCAUUGAUUUCUCACCUUCUAAAGAACCGUAAUGCCAUUAAUUUGGUGUUACGGGGAAUUAGGACUGUUACCUUGAAAAAUUAGAGUGUUUAAAGCAGGCUCACGCUUGAAUACAUUAGCAUGGAAUAAUGAAAUAGGACAUCCGAUUCUAUUUUGUUGGUUUCUAGGAUCGAUGUAAUGAUUAAUAGGGAUAGUUGGGGGCAUUAGUAUUCAAUUGUCAGAGGUGAAAUUCUUGGAUUUAUUGAAGACUAACUACUGCGAAAGCAUUUGCCAAGGAUGUUUUCAUUAAUCAAGAACGAAAGUUAGGGGAUCGAAGACGAUCAGAUACCGUCGUAGUCUUAACCAUAAACUAUGCCGACUAGGAAUCGGAUGAUGUUAAUUUUUAA
Molecule: ribosomal RNA, 500 nt
Filed under: uncultured Glomus
Lineage: Eukaryota; Fungi; Glomeromycota; Glomeromycetes; Glomerales; Glomeraceae
Description: SSU rRNA
Rfam family: Eukaryotic small subunit ribosomal RNA
Source: RNAcentral